ACGUUCGGAUUGAAGGCUGAAAUUCGCCUUCAUGAAGCCGGAAUUGCUAGUAAUGGCAGGUCAGCAUACUGCCGUGAAUACGUUCCCGGGCCUUGUACACACCGCCCGUCACACCAUGAGAGUUGGGAAUACCCGAAGCCUGUGAGCUAACUUUUAGAGGCAGCAGUCGAAGGUAGAAUCAAUGAUUGGGGUGAAGUCGUAACAAGGUAGC
RNAcentral lists this ribosomal RNA (211 nucleotides) under uncultured bacterium. RNAcentral describes it as "partial 16S ribosomal RNA". It matches the Rfam family "Bacterial small subunit ribosomal RNA", at positions 1288 to 1500 of the family's 1533-position model. The record is from RNAcentral.